UGCGUAGAUGGCUGAUUAAGUCGGAUGUGAAAGCCCCGGGCUCAACCUGGGAAUGGCAUCCGAUACUGGUUGGCUAGAGUGCGGUAGAGGAGAGCGGAAUUCCCGGUGUAGCGGUGAAAUGCGUAGAGAUCGGGAGGAACAUCCGUGGCGAAGGCGGCUCUCUGGACCAGCACUGACGUUGAGGCACGAAAGCGUGGGGAGCAAACAGGAUUAGAUACCCUGGUAGUCCACGCCCUAAACGAUGUCGACUGGAUGUUGGGCACACUUUGGUGCUCAGUAUCGAAGCUAACGCGUUAAGUCGACCGCCUGGGGAGUAUGCGCGCAAGCGUGAA
This 332-nucleotide ribosomal RNA is filed under the name uncultured Pseudomonadota bacterium. Its description in RNAcentral is "bacterial SSU rRNA". It matches the Rfam family "Bacterial small subunit ribosomal RNA", at positions 568 to 898 of the family's 1533-position model. The record is from RNAcentral. Lineage: Bacteria; Pseudomonadati; Pseudomonadota.